AUUGAACGCUGGCGGCAGGCCUAACACAUGCAAGUCGAACGGUAGCACAGAGGAGCUUGCUCCUCGGGUGACGAGUGGCGGACGGGUGAGUAAUGUCUGGGGAUCUGCCCGAUAGAGGGGGAUAACCACUGGAAACGGUGGCUAAUACCGCAUAACGUCGCAAGACCAAAGAGGGGGACCUUCGGGCCUCUCACUAGCGGAUGAACCCAGAUGGGAUUAGCUAGUAGGCGGGGUAACGGCCCACCUAGGCGACGAUCCUUAGCUGGUCUGAGAGGAUGACCAGCCACACUGGAACUGAGACACGGUCCAGACUCCUACGGGAGGCAGCAGAGGGGAAUAUUGCACAAUGGGCGCAAGCCUGAUGCAGCCAUGCCGCGUGUAUGAAGAAGGCCUUCGGGUUGUAAAGUACUUUCAGCGGGGAGGAAGGCGAUGUGGUUAAUAACCGCAUUGAUUGACGUUACCCGCAGAAGAAGCACCGGCUAACUCCGUGCCAGCCGCCGCAGUAA
Molecule: ribosomal RNA, 506 nt
Filed under: uncultured bacterium
Lineage: Bacteria
Description: partial 16S ribosomal RNA
Rfam family: Bacterial small subunit ribosomal RNA
Source: RNAcentral